RNAcentral lists this ribosomal RNA (1296 nucleotides) under uncultured bacterium. RNAcentral describes it as "bacterial SSU rRNA". It matches the Rfam family "Bacterial small subunit ribosomal RNA", at positions 89 to 1399 of the family's 1533-position model. The record is from RNAcentral.
GCUUUAGUGGCGGACUGGUGAGUAACGCGUGAGCAACCUGCCUAUUAGAGGGGAAUAACAGUGAGAAAUCACUGCUAAUACCGCAUAAGCUGAUAACAUCGCAUGAUGAAGUCAGAAAAGGAGCAAUCCGCUAAUAGAUGGGCUCGCGUCUGAUUAGCUAGUUGGUGGGGUAACGGCCUACCAAGGCGACGAUCAGUAGCCGGACUGAGAGGUUGAACGGCCACAUUGGGACUGAGAUACGGCCCAGACUCCUACGGGAGGCAGCAGUCGGGAAUAUUGCGCAAUGGAGGAAACUCUGACGCAGUGACGCCGCGUAUAGGAAGAAGGUUUUCGGAUUGUAAACUAUUGUCGUUAGGGAAGAAAAAAAUGACAGUACCUAAGGAGGAAGCUCCGGCUAACUAUGUGCCAGCAGCCGCGGUAAUACAUAGGGAGCAAGCGUUAUCCGGAUUUAUUGGGUGUAAAGGGUGCGUAGACGGGAAUUUAAGUUAGUUGUGAAAUCCCUCGGCUCAACUGAGGAACUGCAACUAAAACUGAAUUUCUUGAGUAUCGGAGGGGAAAGUGGAAUUCCUAGUGUAGCGGUGAAAUGCGUAGAUAUUAGGAGGAACACCAGUGGCGAAGGCGACUUUCUGGACGAUAACUGACGUUGAGGCACGAAAGUGUGGGGAGCAAACAGGAUUAGAUACCCUGGUAGUCCACACCGUAAACGAUGGAUACUAGGUAUAGGGAGCAAUAAAAUCUCUGUGCCGUCGCAAACGCAAUAAGUAUCCCACCUGGGGAGUACGACCGCAAGGUUGAAACUCAAAGGAAUUGACGGGGGCCCGCACAAGCAGUGGAGUAUGUGGUUUAAUUCGAAGCAACGCGAAGAACCUUACCAGGGCUUGACAUAUACCGGAAUAACUAAGAGAUUAGUUAGACCUUCGGGACUGGUAUACAGGUGGUGCAUGGUUGUCGUCAGCUCGUGUCGUGAGAUGUUAGGUUAAGUCCUGCAACGAGCGCAACCCCUAUUUCUAGUUGCCAGCAUGUAAAGAUGGGAACUCUAGAGAGACUGCCGGUGAUAAAUCGGAGGAAGGUGGGGACGACGUCAAAUCAUCAUGCCCUUUAUGUCCUGGGCUACACACGUACUACAAUGGUGGCCACAAAGAGAAGCGAGCCCGCAAGGGGGAGCGGAUCUCAAAAAAGCCAUCUCAGUUCGGAUUGUGGGCUGCAACCCGCCCACAUGAAGUUGGAGUUGCUAGUAAUCGCGGAUCAGAAUGCCGCGGUGAAUACGUUCCCGGGCCUUGUACACACCGCCCGUCA